AGGUCCGUGGCUCAACUGGUUAGAGCACCGCACUCCAAAUGCGGGGGUUGAGGGUUCAAGUCCUUCCGGGCCUGCCA
Molecule: transfer RNA, 77 nt
Filed under: Synergistaceae bacterium
Lineage: Bacteria; Thermotogati; Synergistota; Synergistia; Synergistales; Synergistaceae
Description: tRNA-Trp
Rfam family: tRNA
About the family: Transfer RNA (tRNA) molecules are approximately 80 nucleotides in length. Their secondary structure includes four short double-helical elements and three loops (D, anti-codon, and T loops). Further hydrogen bonds mediate the characteristic L-shaped molecular structure. tRNAs have two regions of fundamental functional importance: the anti-codon, which is responsible for specific mRNA codon recognition, and the 3' end, to which the tRNAs corresponding amino acid is attached (by aminoacyl-tRNA synthetases). tRNAs cope with the degeneracy of the genetic code in two manners: having more than one tRNA (with a specific anti-codon) for a particular amino acid; and 'wobble' base-pairing, i.e. permitting non-standard base-pairing at the 3rd anti-codon position.
Source: RNAcentral